GAUGAACGCUGGCGGCGUGCCUAAUACAUGCAAGUCGAGCGAAUGGAUUGAGAGCUUGCUCUUAUGAAGUUAGCGGCGGACGGGUGAGUAACACGUGGGUAACCUGCCCAUAAGACUGGGAUAACUCCGGGAAACCGGGGCUAAUACCGGAUAACAUUUUGAACCGCAUGGUUCGAAAUUGAAAGGCGGCUUCGGCUGUCACUUAUGGAUGGACCCGCGUCGCAUUAGCUAGUGGGUGAGGUAACGGCUCACCAAGGCAACGAUGCGUAGCCGACCUGAGAGGGUGCUCGGCCACGCGGGACGUGAGACACGGCACAGACUCCUACGGGAGGCAGCAGUAGGGUAUCUUCCGCAAUGGACGAAAGUCUGGCGGAGCAACGCCGCGUGAGUGAUGAAGGCUUUCGGGUCGUAAAACUCUGUUGUUAGGGAAGAACAAGUGCUAGUUGAAUAAGCUGGCACCUUGACGGUACCUAACCAGAAAGCCACGGCUAACUACGUGCCAGCAGCCGCGGUAA
This 515-nucleotide ribosomal RNA is filed under the name uncultured bacterium. RNAcentral describes it as "partial 16S ribosomal RNA". It matches the Rfam family "Bacterial small subunit ribosomal RNA", at positions 28 to 523 of the family's 1533-position model. The record is from RNAcentral.